CAACCCUCAGGGCCCCCCGAUCACGGGCGGCGCUGGUGUUGGGGAUCGGCAGUCCCAGCGGCUGCCGUCCCCGAAAUGUAGUGGCGGUCCCACCGUAACCUCCACUGUGCAGUACUUCGCUCGCAGAGGGAUAGCGGUGCGGCCACGCCGUAAAACGCCCAACUCUUCAA
RNAcentral lists this unclassified non-coding RNA (170 nucleotides) under uncultured Beauveria. Its description in RNAcentral is "sequence contains ITS2". Lineage: Eukaryota; Fungi; Ascomycota; Sordariomycetes; Hypocreales; Cordycipitaceae. The record is from RNAcentral.